CCCCUCUCAGGGUCACACCUGGAGAGUUUCCAGUCCUCUACCAGUCUCGACAAGGGGAGGGAGAGUCAAGCAGGGGCCUGUCCAUUCCAUUCCUAGCUUGGCCUCUGGCUAAUGAGUGGAAGGCAAUCUGCUACAAGU
This 138-nucleotide small nucleolar RNA is filed under the name Ornithorhynchus anatinus (platypus). Lineage: Eukaryota; Metazoa; Chordata; Mammalia; Monotremata; Ornithorhynchidae. The record is from RNAcentral.